RNAcentral lists this ribosomal RNA (1301 nucleotides) under Saccharomyces cerevisiae FostersO. RNAcentral's name for it is "SSU rRNA". It matches the Rfam family "Eukaryotic small subunit ribosomal RNA", at positions 1 to 1308 of the family's 1831-position model. The record is from RNAcentral. Lineage: Eukaryota; Fungi; Ascomycota; Saccharomycetes; Saccharomycetales; Saccharomycetaceae.
UCUGGUUGAUCCUGCCAGUAGUCAUAUGCUUGUCUCAAAGAUUAAGCCAUGCAUGUCUAAGUAUAAGCAAUUUAUACAGUGAAACUGCGAAUGGCUCAUUAAAUCAGUUAUCGUUUAUUUGAUAGUUCCUUUACUACAUGGUAUAACUGUGGUAAUUCUAGAGCUAAUACAUGCUUAAAAUCUCGACCCUUUGGAAGAGAUGUAUUUAUUAGAUAAAAAAAUCAAAUGUCUUCGGACUCUUUGAUGAUUCAUAAUAACUUUUCGAAUCGCAUGGCCUUGUGCUGGCGAUGGUUCAUUCAAAUUUCUGCCCUAUCAACUUUCGAUGGUAGGAUAGUGGCCUACCAUGGUUUCAACGGGUAACGGGAAUAAGGUUCGAUUCCGGAGAGGGAGCCUGAGAAACGGCUACCACAUCCAAGGAAGGCAGCAGGCGCGCAAAUUACCCAAUCCUAAUUCAGGGAGGUAGUGACAAUAAAUAACGAUACAGGGCCCAUUCGGGUCUUGUAAUUGGAAUGAGUACAAUGUAAAUACCUUUAACGAGGGAACAAUUGGAGGGCAAGUCUGGUGCCAGCAGCCGCGGUAAUUCCAGCUCCAAUAGCGUAUAUUAAAGUUGUUGCAGUUAAAAAGCUCGUAGUUGAACUUUGGGCCCGGUUGGCCGGUCCGAUUUUUCGUGUACUGGAUUUCCAACGGGGCCUUUCCUUCUGGCUAACCUUGAGUCCUUGUGGCUCUUGGCGAACCAGGACUUUUACUUGAAAAAAUUAGAGUGUUCAAAGCAGGCGUAUUGCUCGAAUAUAUUAGCAUGGAAUAAUAGAAUAGGACGUUUGGUUCUAUUUUGUUGGUUUCUAGGACCAUCGUAAUGAUUAAUAGGGACGGUCGGGGGCAUCAGUAUUCAAUUGUCAGAGGUGAAAUUCUUGGAUUUAUUGAAGACUAACUACUGACGAAAGCAUUUGCCAAGGACGUUUUCAUUAAAUCAAGAACGAAAGUUAGGGGAUCGAAGAUGAUCAGAUACCGUCGUAAGUCUUAACCAUAAACUAUGCCGACUAGGGAUCGGGUGGUGUUUUUUUAAUGUACCCACUCGGCACCUUACGAGAAAUCAAAGUCUUUGGGUUACUGGGGGGGAGUAUGGUCGCAAGGCUGAAACUUAAAGGAAUUGACGGAAGGGCACCACCAGGAGUGGAGCCUGCGGCUUAAUUUGACUCAACACGGGGAAACUCACCAGGUCCAGACACAAUAAGGAUUGACAGAUUGAGAGCUCUUUCUUGAUUUGUGGUGGUGGUGCAUGGCCGUUCUUAGUUGGUGGAGUG